AUGUAUAGCAAUUUUUUUUUAUAAAAUAAGUCGCAUCAUAUGAUUAUCUCAAACCAACAGACAUCGGAUCUGUUUAUAUCAAGAUGCUCGGCUCUAUACUACCAUGAUUAUGUUUCAAGCCCAUGAUAAAUCAACAAAAAUGGCUAGUCUUGUAGACUACCACAAUCACCCAUACAAAGGGUAACAAGUAGCUAGUCUUGUGGACUAUCACAACCAUAUUUCAAGCCCA
This 229-nucleotide long non-coding RNA is filed under the name Elaeis guineensis (African oil palm). RNAcentral describes it as "long non-coding RNA (EGUI_LNC036275)". The record is from RNAcentral. Lineage: Eukaryota; Viridiplantae; Streptophyta; Magnoliopsida; Arecales; Arecaceae.